UGGGCUCUCUCUUUCUCCCUGCGGGUUUAAGUUGAUGGUCGAUGGGGUUUGUUUAAAUUAAGCACUGCACAAUGAUGCCCUUAUUGUGGAUCUUUGGUAUUCCUGCAGCAGAAGGAGCGAGUAGCAGCGAACACUGUAACCUUGUUCUCUGGAGAUGACAUGGGCACGAGGAAGAGGAGGAAGAAAUAUGACAAAUGUUUUGAAGGUUCAUAAUAAGAAUCUGUGGUUCUGUGGUUGCUCUUCAUCAUAACGUCUGUAUUACUUGCUUAACACAGUCCUAAUCAAGUAGUUGCAACGCUUCGUUUCGGAUCUGAGGAGUUCUGCGCUGUAAUGUACGCUACCCUUUUUAACAAGUUAAAAAUGUAACAGCUUUUGAAUCAAACUCUUGCUGAACUGUGUAGCUUAGUUCAAUAAAGAUGUUGAAAGUAC
This is a long non-coding RNA of Cygnus olor (mute swan), 429 nucleotides long. RefSeq lists it as uncharacterized. Lineage: Eukaryota; Metazoa; Chordata; Aves; Anseriformes; Anatidae. The record is from RefSeq and is a predicted model, not a curated record. The transcript has 3 exons.